RNAcentral lists this ribosomal RNA (204 nucleotides) under Wolbachia. RNAcentral describes it as "16S RNA". It matches the Rfam family "Bacterial small subunit ribosomal RNA", at positions 105 to 327 of the family's 1533-position model. Lineage: Bacteria; Pseudomonadati; Pseudomonadota; Alphaproteobacteria; Rickettsiales; Anaplasmataceae. The record is from RNAcentral.
GGUGAGUAAUGUAUAGGAAUCUACCUAGUAGUACGGAAUAAUUGUUGGAAACGGCAACUAAUACCGUAUACGCCCUACGGGGAAAAAUUUAUUGCUAUUAGAUGAGCCUAUAUUAGAUUAGCUAGUUGGUGGAGUAAUAGCCUACCAAGGCAAUGAUCUAUAGCUGAUCUGAGAGGAUGAUCAGCCACACUGGAACUGAGAUAC